This is a small nuclear RNA of Acomys russatus (golden spiny mouse), 107 nucleotides long. Lineage: Eukaryota; Metazoa; Chordata; Mammalia; Rodentia; Muridae. The record is from RefSeq and is a predicted model, not a curated record.
AAACAAGUUACUUGUGUUCACAUACUAAAAUUGGUAUAAUACAAAAGAGAUUAGCAUGGUCCCUUCAUAAGGAAGACACACAAAUUCAUUAAGCAUUCCAUAUUUUU